RNAcentral lists this long non-coding RNA (2448 nucleotides) under Haliotis rubra (blacklip abalone). Its description in RNAcentral is "uncharacterized LOC124286418". The record is from RNAcentral. Lineage: Eukaryota; Metazoa; Mollusca; Gastropoda; Lepetellida; Haliotidae.
GUGUGUGUGUGUCAGAGACUGUUGCCCCAGGCUUUCUUCUGCAUUUGUGGCUAAAAUACUCAAGAACUGAUAUCUACAUACAUUACACACUCAGUCUCACCUCGGUUACCAUGGUGAUGUGGUGGUGUUCCGAGCCAAGAACAAAGUCUGUAUACAAACAAGAUAUCCUGAUUGAAGCGCUCAUAAAAUAUAUUUUUUUGCAAUCAAUAUGCAAGGACGAGAUCAAAUGAAUUCUGUUGAUAGUCCUGAUAGUGACAUUAGUUUAUACAAAUUUAUUUUACAAUAAACACAUGACUAGUUACUGAAUAUUAGGGGAUGGACUAUACUGAUAAGUUAUAGGAAUAUGAUUUACACUGGAACAAUGAAAAUGUGACUCUCUGUACCUGAAUGGACAUGUGAUUAUGGUGUUGCAAUAUACAGUAUUUAAUCACCAAUAUGGCAUUAGUGGUGCAUGUGUAUCAGUGAACAUAUCCCCAAUAAUUAUCAUCCAUCGCUGUAAUCAACACAACACUGAGAGCUGUGUGGUAGGUGAAUCCUGUGAAAACUUAGAACUAUUGUGUGCUGUGAAACUGUCAGCAGUUACAUUCCAGUCAUGCUAAAUAGUUCGUAUAUUUUGAACUAUGCUUAGAUUAUAGCAAAUCGUUCACAUGGGAUUCCAUAAGUCUCAUUCAGAAGUGAUGUUAUUCCAAAAUUUUGUGAAUAUUAUUUUCAUAUUCUUGUCUCUUGUGUGGCAAUACUCAGAAUUUGUGUUUGAUUUAGCAACAAAUGACCACAGUUGAUAAUAUUUGGACGUUGCUCUGACCAGAUAUUGAGUAAAAGAAUGUCUUGUGAGCUUCUGGCAUUCUCUGUUGGUUGUUUCAUGCCAUAGAAGAAAUCCUGCUAUGUGUAUCAAGUUGGUCGAUAAUGAAAUAGUGUGGAUACAACACCAUAACAUCCCUCAGAGAAGAUUGAUUCUCAGAAACCAGUUAUUGGGGAAUACUAUGCUGAAGUCAAUAUAUUAAAUGUAUGGCAAUACUUUAUUCACAGUGUGCUGUUUGAGCUAGAAUUGUGUUAAUGUAUGUUGCUGUAGCAGAGAAAAAGUUCAUUGUUAUAAAAGCCUGUUAUGUGGCAACACAGUACACUGAAUUCAAAAUGUUUAGUAGUUAGAAAGUUUAACACUUCACUAUGCAAGUACCGUUAAUGAAACAAGUGUUUAUCAUAGCAUAUUGUUUAUCAUAUUACGUUUAAUAUUGGGGUGCAUUAAGCAUUAGUUUCACCUCAGUUCCAAAGAGACAUAUUUGAGCUGAGGAAGAUAACACUGUAUGUAAAGCACAAAGUAGUCAUCACUUCUUUUCAGAAUUUGUACAUUCUGGCAGUAAGCUCCAGGAUUCAUUCUUGUCAGAGGUUUUGCUUUAUGUGAAUUGAGCUUCAGCAGUAGUUCUUGUCAGAGGUUUUAUGUUCAGUGAGUUGAGCUUCAGCAGUAGUUCUUGUCAGAGAUUUUACUGUUUGUGAGUUGAGCUUCAGCAGUAGUUCUUGUCAGAGGUUUUUCGUUCUUAGUUGAGCUUCAGCAGAACUAAGUGUUGGCUAACAACAUCACUGCCUUUUACCGCUGCAACCUUCCAUAGGGUAGAGGUCCCAUAAGCUGGGACUGAUACACAGGUGCUAUGUUACUGCUUGCGUAGCUCCAUGUUGUACAGUCAAUGUCUUGUUCAAGAUAAUGUCCCUGGCUGUAACAAAUGGCUUCACAACUUCCACCUCAACCUAUUUUAUAAUUUAUUGUAUGAUUUAUGUUUGAUGCAGCAUUAUUUUAUUUGAAAUCUUUAAUAUGUAAAGAGUAAUAUAUCCAUUGUAUUUCAAUCCACCGUUAGCUCUUCUAUGGUCAAUAUUAUCCUUUCCAAGAACUCACCUUCAUAAAUAGUAUUGUCAGCAUGGUAAACAAACUAGAUGUUACAAAGGUCAAUAGCACUGUAACCAAACUCCAUGGAUAUUGUAUUUAUCCAUACUAAGGACUGAUAAAAAAACUAUUGAAAAAUUAUGUUUUAAUGAGAUAAGUCUAUGUACCGAUGAAAUUACUUCAUAAAAACAGCUAUAAUGAUGUCCUUACUCAACACACUGUUUGAGACUGUAAUCAGUGAAAUGAAAUGUAUGGCUAUUUAUAUAUACUGAAUAUAUUGAUUUUAUAUUUUGUAAAAUGUCUUGUUUUAACAUUAUUGACCACAUGUACAAAUGCUGAUAUCCAUACAAUCAACCACAAACUUUUAAAAGUUUGUUACAAUGACUGGCUAACAGAGUUUUAACCCUUGCUUAAUCAAAUUAUUUAUUCAAUUUAUGCUCUAUAUAAUAUACAGGUUUGGCAACUGGAUUCCCUGUUCCAAAUCAUAUACAACUUCAAAGAUAAUCAAAUAACAGCUGUCUGACUGUGAAAUGAGCAGUAUAGAUUUACCCGUUGUCAGUUUUAGUUCACCAAAA